RNAcentral lists this transfer RNA (72 nucleotides) under Vicugna pacos (alpaca). Its description in RNAcentral is "tRNA-Ala (AGC) (tRNA-Ala-AGC-671-1)". It matches the Rfam family "tRNA". From Rfam's summary of the family: Transfer RNA (tRNA) molecules are approximately 80 nucleotides in length. Their secondary structure includes four short double-helical elements and three loops (D, anti-codon, and T loops). Lineage: Eukaryota; Metazoa; Chordata; Mammalia; Artiodactyla; Camelidae. The record is from Rfam by way of RNAcentral.
GUGGAUAUAGCUCAGUGGUAGAGUGUAUGCUUAGCAUGCAUGAGGUCUUGGGUUCAAUCCCCAGUAUCUCCA